Molecule: ribosomal RNA, 406 nt
Filed under: uncultured bacterium
Lineage: Bacteria
Description: partial 16S ribosomal RNA
Rfam family: Bacterial small subunit ribosomal RNA
Source: RNAcentral
AUUGAACGCUGGCGGCAGGCCUAACACAUGCAAGUCGAACGAGUGGCGGACGGGUGAGUAAUGUCUGGGAAACUGCCCGAUGGAGGGGGAUAACUACUUGAAACGGUAGCUAAUACCGCAUACCAUCUUAUGUGCCCACUUGGGAUUAGCUUGUAGGUGAGGUAACGGCUCCCCUAGUCCCCGCUCCCUAGCGGGUCUGAGAGGAUGACCCGCCACAAUGGAACGGAGACACGGUCCAGACUCCUACGGGAGGCAGCAGUGGGGAAUAUUGCAAAAUGGGCGCAAGCCUGAUGCAGCCAUGCCGCGUGUAUGAAGAAGGCCUUCGGGUUGUAAAGUACUUUCAGCGGGGAGGCGUUACCCGCAGAAGAAGCACCGGCUAACUCCGUGCCAGCAGCCGCGGUAAUAC